RNAcentral lists this ribosomal RNA (492 nucleotides) under uncultured bacterium. RNAcentral describes it as "partial 16S ribosomal RNA". It matches the Rfam family "Bacterial small subunit ribosomal RNA", at positions 28 to 507 of the family's 1533-position model. The record is from RNAcentral.
GAUGAACGCUAGCUACAGGCUUAACACAUGCAAGUCGAGGGGCAGCGGUAUCGAAAGCUUGCUUUCGGUAGCCGGCGACCGGCGCACGGGUGAGUAACGCGUAUCGAACCUGCCUCAUACUCGGGAAUAGCCUUGCGAAAGUAAGAUUAAUGCCCGGUGUUUUCAGAGUCCCGCAUGAGGCUUUUAACAAAGAUUUAUCGGUAUGAGAUGGCGAUGCGUCCCCUUAGCUUGUUGGCGGGGUAACGGCCCACCAAGGCAUCGAUGGGUAGGGGUUCUGAGAGGAAGGUCCCCCACAUUGGAGAUGAGACACGGUCCAAACACCUACGGGAGGCAGCAGUGAGGAAUAUUGGUCAAUGGGCGGAAGCCUGAACCAGCCAAGUAGCGUGCAGGAAGACGGCCCUCCGGGUUGUAAACUGCUUUUAGUGGGGAAGAAAACGGGGCUCGUGAGCCCCCUUGCAUGUACCAUCAGAAAAAGGACCGGCUAAUUCCGUG